RNAcentral lists this unclassified non-coding RNA (253 nucleotides) under uncultured Alphaproteobacteria bacterium. Its description in RNAcentral is "contains 16S-23S intergenic spacer region". It matches the Rfam family "Bacterial small subunit ribosomal RNA", at positions 524 to 776 of the family's 1533-position model. The record is from RNAcentral. Lineage: Bacteria; Pseudomonadati; Pseudomonadota; Alphaproteobacteria.
UACGAAGGGGGCAAGCGUUGUUCGGAAUCACUGGGCGUAAAGCGCACGUAGGCGGAUCGAUAAGUCGGGGGUGAAAGCCCGAGGCUCAACCUCGGAACUGCCUUCGAUACUGCCGAUCUGGAGUCCGGGAGAGGUGAGUGGAACUCCUAGUGUAGAGGUGAAAUUCGUAGAUAUUAGGAAGAACACCAGUGGCGAAGGCGGCUCACUGGCCCGGUACUGACGCUGAUGUGCGAAAGCGUGGGGAGCAAACAGG